Solanum stenotomum is the source of this 867-nucleotide long non-coding RNA. RefSeq lists it as uncharacterized. The transcript is spliced from 5 exons. The record is from RefSeq and is a predicted model, not a curated record. NCBI's taxonomy places the organism in Eukaryota, Viridiplantae, Streptophyta, Magnoliopsida, Solanales, Solanaceae.
GUUAGCUUCUCCACCACCUAUGCAAGCAAAAUUUAUGUAAAUCUUGAUAUAAAUUACAUAAGAUCUUUGGCUCCAAAAUUUUCCACCAUGUCCAUAGAACUUCAAGUUAUCGAAAGCUCUAAUGUUAACAGUCUUCCUAUUGAGGAAGAGAUGUUUUUGAACCGAAUGGACAUUAAGGAGUUGUUGGAGGCUGAAUGGAGCUCUGAACUAUAGGAAUACAUUGUUACCGUGAAGAGCAAGAUAAAGGAAAUAGAUAACUAUUUUGGUUGGUACUACAUUUCAUGCAAUGUGUGUUCGAAGAAGAUUGAACCAACAAAUAGGAUCUAUCGAUGCAACAAUUGCAAUAAAGAUUGCAAGUUUCCUUUGGUCAGGUACAAGAUACACCUAAAAGUGACAGAUAGGACUGGAGACACUACUUUUACCAUAUUUAAUGAUGUGGCUGAGAAACUCAUUGAUACAUCGGCUCACAAGUUGUUUAACAAGCUUACCACGGCUAACAAUGAUGUGCCUGUCUAAGUCCAAAGCCUCUGCGGGAAAGAAUUUGUUUUUAAACUAAGAUUAAAUCAUUAUAAUUUGAAAGAAGGGCUUGAGAAUUUUACAAUAUCAAAGCUUUGGAUUCCAGAUGAUAAUUUGGAAGUACAAUACAAACUAAGGAAAGAAGAAAAGCGGAAGAACUUAUCCAACAAUGAAACCACCCCAAAGGAUCAGGGAACUAACGGAUUGACCAAAGAGAUGAACAAUCAGGUAUCUGUUGAUGUGUUACUGACUGACUUGGAAGAUCAUGAGGAUGAACUACAUGUCACUAAUGGUUCUAAGAGUAGGAAACGAAGAAACCUAAUCAUAGAUGGUGAGUAAUUAAGCGUUGCA